Molecule: ribosomal RNA, 253 nt
Filed under: uncultured bacterium
Lineage: Bacteria
Description: partial 16S ribosomal RNA
Rfam family: Bacterial small subunit ribosomal RNA
Source: RNAcentral
UACGUAGGGGGCAAGCGUUGUCCGGAUUUAUUGGGCGUAAAGAGCGUGUAGGCGGCCAGACAGGUCCGUUGUGAAAACUCGAGGCUCAACCUCGAGACGCCGAUGGAAACCGUCUGGCUAGAGUCCGGAAGAGGAGAGUGGAAUUCCUGGUGUAGCGGUGAAAUGCGCAGAUAUCAGGAAGAACACCCGUGGCGAAGGCGGCUCUCUGGAACGCAACUGACGCUGAGACGCGAAAGCGUGGGGAGCAAACAGG